UGGGGAAUAUUGCACAAUGGGCGCAAGCCUGAUGCAGCCAUGCCGCGUGUGUGAAGAAGGCCUUCGGGUUGUAAAGCACUUUCAGCGGGGAGGAAGGCGAUAAGGUUAAUAACCUUGUCGAUUGACGUUACCCGCAGAAGAAGCACCGGCUAACUCCGUGCCAGCAGCCGCGGUAAUACGGAGGGUGCAAGCGUUAAUCGGAAUUACUGGGCGUAAAGCGCACGCAGGCGGUCUGUCAAGUCGGAUGUGAAAUCCCCGGGCUCAACCUGGGAACUGCAUUCGAAACUGGCAGGCUAGAGUCUUGUAGAUGGGGGUAGAAUUCCAGGUGUAGCGGUGAAAUGCGUAGAGAUCUGGAGGAAUACCGGUGGCGAAGGCGGCCCCCUGGACAAAGACUGACGCUCAGGUGCGAAAGCGUGGGGAGCAAACAGG
RNAcentral lists this ribosomal RNA (429 nucleotides) under Chloroflexota bacterium. Its description in RNAcentral is "Chloroflexi bacterium partial 16S ribosomal RNA". It matches the Rfam family "Bacterial small subunit ribosomal RNA", at positions 355 to 776 of the family's 1533-position model. Lineage: Bacteria; Bacillati; Chloroflexota. The record is from RNAcentral.